UCGGGAAUUUUGGGCAAUGGGCGAAAGCCUGACCCAGCAACGCCGCGUGAAGGAUGAAGUAUUUCGGUAUGUAAACUUCGAAAGAAUAGGAAGAAUAAAUGACGGUACUAUUUAUAAGGUCCGGCUAACUACGUGCCAGCAGCCGCGGUAAUACGUAGGGACCAAGCGUUGUUCGGAUUUACUGGGCGUAAAGGGCGCGUAGGCGGCAAUUCAAGUCAUCUGUGAAAUCUCCGGGCUUAACUCGGAACGGUCAGAUGAUACUGCUUUGCUAGAGUGCAGAAGGGGCAAUCGGAAUUCUUGGUGUAGCGGUGAAAUGCGUAGAUAUCAAGAGGAACACCUGAGGUGAAGACGGGUUGCUGGGCUGACACUGACGCUGAGGCGCGAAAGCCAGGGGAGCAAACGGGGAUUAGAUACCCUAGUAGUCCCUGAGCGGGCUGGCAAGGCGCAU
Molecule: ribosomal RNA, 448 nt
Filed under: uncultured bacterium
Lineage: Bacteria
Description: bacterial SSU rRNA
Rfam family: Bacterial small subunit ribosomal RNA
Source: RNAcentral